UGAUAAUUAGUUUAACAAAAACAAAUGAUUUCGACUCAUUAGAUUGUAGUUCAUAUUGCAAUUAUCAA
RNAcentral lists this transfer RNA (68 nucleotides) under Conepatus semistriatus (striped hog-nosed skunk). RNAcentral describes it as "tRNA-Arg". It matches the Rfam family "tRNA". Rfam says of the family: Transfer RNA (tRNA) molecules are approximately 80 nucleotides in length. Their secondary structure includes four short double-helical elements and three loops (D, anti-codon, and T loops). Lineage: Eukaryota; Metazoa; Chordata; Mammalia; Carnivora; Mephitidae. The record is from RNAcentral.